Panicum virgatum (switchgrass) is the source of this 719-nucleotide long non-coding RNA. RefSeq lists it as uncharacterized. The transcript is spliced from 2 exons. The record is from RefSeq and is a predicted model, not a curated record. NCBI's taxonomy places the organism in Eukaryota, Viridiplantae, Streptophyta, Magnoliopsida, Poales, Poaceae.
UCCAGCCCUAAAGCCUAUAGCCCUGUCCCAUUAUCUGUACUUGUAACUAAUCUUACGACCUGGUGAUGGUUCUUGCCGAGGCCAAGGUAUCUACAAAUGUGAUGGUUCUUGCUGACGCCAGGAGCUGGAGCACCAGGCGCUCAUAUACAAGUACCUCGUCUGUCCUGCCAGACCUCCUCCCUAUCUGUCAUUGCUUCGUCCAGCAGAUCUCACUAUUUUUCGCAGUUGAUUUUGUGUGCUGCAGUCAUGGAGCUUAAACAGAGGCUUGCGAGCAACCAAAGCCCAUGGCCAAACCACUCCUGCACUGCUGGUAUAGUGUUCGAUGAAAUGUCCCUUGCAUGGGGCUCUCGGUCAGCAAAAAGCAGCAAUCUAACAGGCCAUGAGGGGCUCAAGAAAUAUUUUGCUCUAGGUCAGCUUCAAAAUCAACAAAGUUAAGCGAUAUGGUGGUCUGUUAGCUUUAGGGGAACUUCAUCUUUUGCAGGAACCAAACUUUGCCGCUGCAGCUUCAUAUUUUGUUGGUUUGUUAGCUUUUGGUCGAACUUCAACCAAAUUUUGGUGCUGCUGGUUCAGAUUCUUGCUGAAACCUAUUUUUUGUUGUUUCUUGUCAAUUAUGUGGUCUUGGAAUGUUACUGCUAGUUCUGAUAGAUGGAAAAACUCUAUGUAAUGCAAAUCUUAUUCUGUUAUUCAUGUGAGUUUGGGCUGGAAUUGCUUAUUGUGAA